RNAcentral lists this ribosomal RNA (373 nucleotides) under uncultured Glomeromycotina. Its description in RNAcentral is "LSU rRNA". Lineage: Eukaryota; Fungi; Glomeromycota. The record is from RNAcentral.
UUGAAAGGGAAACGAUUGAAGUCAGUCGUACCUGUGGGUAAUCAGCCUUUUGGGUGUGAUUUUGUGGAGUGUGAGGAGUUAAACGCCUUCAUGCCUGCAUAUUCGUGCACUUUGGGUGUAUUUACCCGUGUGGUAAGUUAACAUCAAUUUCGGUGGUCAUAGAAUGGCUGGAGGAAUGUAGCUUCGAUCUUGUAUUGAAGUGUUAUAGCCUUCGGUAGAUGUGAUGAUCGGGAUUGAGGAUUGCAACGGAUACCCCUCGGGGCUACCUGUCUGAUCUCUGAUCGUUGCUCUGGUGCCGAAAGCUUGCUUACGGUUAUCAAAGUCGAUGGUUAAUAGGUUAGAACGGGUUAAAUUCGUUAAGGAUGUUGACGUA